UAGGGAAUCUUCCACAAUGGACGCAAGUCUGAUGGAGCAACGCCGCGUGAGUGAAGAAGGUUUUCGGACCGUAAAGCUCUGUUGUUGGUGAAGAAGGAUAGAGGUAGUAACUGGCCUUUAUUUGACGGUAAUCAACCAGAAAGUCACGGCUAACUACGUGCCAGCAGCCGCGGUAAUACGUAGGUGGCAAGCGUUGUCCGGAUUUAUUGGGCGUAAAGCGAGCGCAGGCGGAAGAAUAAGUCUGAUGUGAAAGCCCUCGGCUUAACCGAGGAAUUGCAUCGGAAACUGUUUUCUUGAGUGCAGAAGAGGGGAGUAGAACUCCAUGUGUAGCGGUGGAAUGCGUAGAUAUAUGGAAGAAUACCAGUGGCGAAGGCGGCUCUCUGGUCUGCAACUGACGCUGAGGCUCGAAAGCAUGGGUAGCGAACAGGAUUAGAUACCCUGGUAGUCCAUGCCGUAAACGAUGAGUGCUAAGUGUUGGGAGGCUUCCGCCUCUCAGUGCUGCAGCUAACGCAUUAAGCACUCCGCCUGGGGGAGUACGACCGCAAGGUUGAAAC
RNAcentral lists this ribosomal RNA (554 nucleotides) under uncultured bacterium. Its description in RNAcentral is "partial 16S ribosomal RNA". It matches the Rfam family "Bacterial small subunit ribosomal RNA", at positions 355 to 900 of the family's 1533-position model. The record is from RNAcentral.